This 422-nucleotide ribosomal RNA is filed under the name Verrucomicrobiota bacterium. RNAcentral's name for it is "Verrucomicrobia bacterium partial 16S ribosomal RNA". It matches the Rfam family "Bacterial small subunit ribosomal RNA", at positions 355 to 776 of the family's 1533-position model. The record is from RNAcentral. Lineage: Bacteria; Pseudomonadati; Verrucomicrobiota.
UGGGGAAUUUUGCACAAUGGGCGCAAGCCUGAUGCAGCGACGCCGCGUGAGGGAUGAAGGCCUUCGGGUUGUAAACCUUUUUCGCUCAUGGUCAAGCCGCAGCUUUGGGUUGUGGUGAGGGUAGUGGGUAAAGAAGCGCCGGCUAACUACGUGCCAGCAGCCGCGGUAAUACGUAGGGCGCGAGCGUUGUCCGGAAUUAUUGGGCGUAAAGGGCUUGUAGGCGGUUGGCGGCGUCUGCCGUGAAAUCCUCUGGCUUAACUGGUGGCGUGCGGUGGGUACGGGUUGACUUGAGUGCGGUAGGGGAGACUGGAAUUCCUGGUGUAGCGGUGGAAUGCGCAGAUAUCAGGAGGAACACCGGUGGCGAAGGCGGGUCUCUGGGCCGUUACUGACGCUGAGGAGCGAAAGCGUGGGGAGCGAACAGG